AGGGACACCAUGAGCCCUUUCUGGUGGAAGUCAAGCAAGGGGUUCUUGGCGUACUCCAGGAAGAGGCUGUUGUUGCUGAGCGGGGACAUGGCGAUGGGAAUUCGGGCCAGGAAGUACAGGUACUGCAGCACUGGGCUCUGCAAAGGUGAGCAGAGGUACCACGGUAGGGAUAAAGUUGCUGCACCUUCCACCUCUCCGAGGUCACUCCUCAGAUCAGGCCAGGUCCCAGCCAGGGAAGAGAUGGGCCAGCCAGCCAUCAAUGCUUCAGGCUAAGGAGCACGAGAAGCCAAGGCACUGUCUGAUACCAGCUCAGCUGGCUCCAGUGAUAACAAACAUAUUCUGUGAUGGAUCUGUGAGGCUAAACCCCCAAGAUCUAAUCCGUUGCUCAGACACAUCCCCAAACAUGCGUGGAGAAGCCCAGAGAAGCAUUUAACAUCAGCCUGAAGCUGGGCUGUGUCAGUGUACAGCACAGGCACAGGAGGUGCAGGCUGUGCUCCUCUCCUUGCCCGGGCUCCUGGGAACUCACCGCUUUUCCACUGUGGCACUGGACUCCUGGAGCAUCAUGUGCAGUGUCAUUUCCUGGCGUGAGAUGGGGCAGAUCUCUUCCACAUCAAAAUGAGAGAUUUCCCCCCUGACCUCCUCAUCCUUCACCUCGGAGGCGAAGACCUUCUCGGCGAAGGAGCGCAGGGACUCGUCCAUCUCUGCAAAGAGGAGCUCAGUGUCCCACAGGGAGCUGAUUCCCAGCCACUGGAACAGGCAGGUGCCCCUUGCAGGCUCAGCUGCCAUCUCCUCGUGGCCCCCACACCCUAGAGAAGACUCUGAGCCACCUCCCAAAUGUGCAGCAAGGCUGGGCCAGACUUGCUGGGCUGGAGACAUACCUUGAUACCCCCAGUAGAGCAGGAAAAGUACUUAGAGUGCAAGAGUGCUGCCAAAAGGGCCAGAGAAAGCAGGUCCCUGGGAGGGGCAGCUAUGGGAGCAUGCACUGGGUGGGAGAGGUGGCAAAAACCUUACAGCUCCAGGGAGCCCAAAAUCCACUUGCUGCAGCAGUCAGGGGGAAGACAGAGGUGUGGAUGGGGGCAGAGCUGGCAGCCCGAGCACUCAGCUCCCACCAUGCCAGGGCAGCCCCAGCUGGGCACUGCCAGC
Long non-coding RNA from Prinia subflava (tawny-flanked prinia), 1143 nucleotides. RefSeq lists it as uncharacterized. The transcript is spliced from 2 exons. NCBI's taxonomy places the organism in Eukaryota, Metazoa, Chordata, Aves, Passeriformes, Cisticolidae. The record is from RefSeq and is a predicted model, not a curated record.